RNAcentral lists this ribosomal RNA (460 nucleotides) under uncultured bacterium. RNAcentral describes it as "partial 16S ribosomal RNA". It matches the Rfam family "Bacterial small subunit ribosomal RNA", at positions 338 to 795 of the family's 1533-position model. The record is from RNAcentral.
CCUACGGGAGGCAGCAGUGAGGAAUAUUGGUCAAUGGGCGCAAGCCUGAACCAGCCAAGUCGCGUGAGGGAUGACGGUCCUAUGGAUUGUAAACCUCUUUUGUCGGGGAGCAAGGCCCGCCACGUGUGGCGGGAAGGAGAGUACCCGAAGAAAAAGCAUCGGCUAACUCCGUGCCAGCAGCCGCGGUAAUACGGAGGAUGCGAGAGUUAUCCGGAUUUAUUGGGUUUAAAGGGUGCGUAGGCGGAAGGUUAAGUCAGCGGUCAAAUGUCGGUGUUCAAAACCGGCCUGCCGUUGAAACUGGUCGUCUUGAGUGAGCGAGAAGUAUGCGGAAUGCGUGGUGUAGCGGUGAAAUGCAUAGAUAUCACGCAGAACUCCGAUUGCGAAGGCAGCAUACCGGCGCUCAACUGACGCUGAGGCACGAAAGCGUGGGGAUCGAACAGGAUUAGAUACCCGGGUAGUC